AGUGAGUGGCGCAGUUGUUUUAGCGCACUCGAUUUAGGUUCGAGGGGUCGCGGGUUUGAAUCCCGCCUCACUCG
This 74-nucleotide transfer RNA is filed under the name Leisingera daeponensis. Its description in RNAcentral is "tRNA-Leu". It matches the Rfam family "tRNA". Rfam says of the family: Transfer RNA (tRNA) molecules are approximately 80 nucleotides in length. Their secondary structure includes four short double-helical elements and three loops (D, anti-codon, and T loops). Lineage: Bacteria; Pseudomonadati; Pseudomonadota; Alphaproteobacteria; Rhodobacterales; Roseobacteraceae. The record is from RNAcentral.